RNAcentral lists this ribosomal RNA (628 nucleotides) under uncultured bacterium. Its description in RNAcentral is "bacterial SSU rRNA". It matches the Rfam family "Bacterial small subunit ribosomal RNA", at positions 554 to 1175 of the family's 1533-position model. The record is from RNAcentral.
CUGGGCUUAAGCGUACGUAGGCGGAUGUGCAGGCGUCGUGUGAAAGCCCUCGGCUCAACCGAGGAAUUGCACGGCGAACCGCACGUCUUGAGACAAGUAGGGGCGGUCGGAACGAUAGGUGGAGUGGUGAAAUGCGUUGAUAUCUAUCGGAACGCCGAUGGUGAAGACAGGCCGCUGGGCUUGUUCUGACGCUGAGGUACGAAAGCAUGGGGAGCGAACGGGAUUAGAUACCCCGGUAGUCCAUGCCGUAAACGAUGUGCACUAGAUCGAGGAGGUUCUGAUACUUUCUCGGCCGAAGUAAAAACGUUGAGUGCACCGCCUGGGGAGUACGGUCGCAAGGCUAAAACUCAAAGGAAUUGACGGGGGCUCACACAAGCGGUGGAGCAUGUGGCUCAAUUCGAAGCAACGCGAAGAACCUUAUCCUAGGUUUGACAUGCACGGAUUAGUCGGCAGAAACGUCGAUGACACUCUCGUAGUGGAACGUGCACAGGUGCUGCAUGGCUGUCGUCAGCUCGUGCUGUGAAGUGUCGGGUUAAGUCCCUUAACGAGCGAAACCCCUAUCGCUAGUUGCCACCAGGUUAUGCUGAGCACUCUAGCGAGACUGCCGGUGUUAAACCGGAGGAAGGUG